This is a microRNA precursor of Astatotilapia calliptera (eastern happy), 61 nucleotides long. Lineage: Eukaryota; Metazoa; Chordata; Actinopteri; Cichliformes; Cichlidae. The record is from Ensembl.
CAACAAAGAGGCUUGUGGGUCUUUGUUCGCUUUUUUGGAUCGGUCGAGUUUCUUUGUUGGA